This 500-nucleotide ribosomal RNA is filed under the name uncultured bacterium. RNAcentral's name for it is "partial 16S ribosomal RNA". It matches the Rfam family "Bacterial small subunit ribosomal RNA", at positions 30 to 523 of the family's 1533-position model. The record is from RNAcentral.
AUUGAACGCUGGCGGAAUGCUUUACACAUGCAAGUCGAACGGCAGCACGGACUUCGGUCUGGUGGCGAGUGGCGAACGGGUGAGUAAUGUAUCGGAACGUGCCCAGUCGUGGGGGAUAACGUAGUGAAAAUUACGCUAAUACCGCAUACGAUCUAUGGAUGAAAGCGGGGGAUCGCAAGACCUCGCGCGAUUGGAGCGGCCGAUAUCAGAUUAGGUAGUUGGUGGGGUAAAGGCCCACCAAGCCAACGAUCUGGAGUUGGUCUGAGAGGACGGCCAGCCACACUGGAACUGAGACACGGUCCAGACUCCUACGGGAGGCAGCAGUGGGGAAUUUUGGACAAUGGGCGAAGGCCUGAUCCAGCCAUUCCGCGUGCAGGAUGAAGGCCCUCGGGUUGUAAACUGCUUUUGUACAGAACGAAAAGGUUUCUACUAAUACUAGGAGCUCAUGACGGUACUGUAAGAAUAAGCACCGGCUAACUACGUGCCAGCCGCCGCAGUAA